Hevea brasiliensis (rubber tree) is the source of this 3187-nucleotide RNA transcript. It is a transcript of the gene named U-box domain-containing protein 3-like, with no coding region annotated. The record is from RefSeq and is a predicted model, not a curated record. Lineage: Eukaryota; Viridiplantae; Streptophyta; Magnoliopsida; Malpighiales; Euphorbiaceae. The transcript is spliced from 6 exons.
UAUCAUAUUCGUAUUGGAUAUCAUUCCAUAGCAUCAGGCAUCAGCUAAUCUAUAUGAUAAUAUAGAAGUUAAUACAUACGUAUAUAAUCACUUGAUUACAUUUAUAAUCUCCUUGCAAUUAUCACUGUUGAUCAUGAUUCUUAAUUAAUUUCGCUCCAACAAAACCCAACAAAUCUGCAACCAACCCUUGAAUAACCCUACCGUAUUUACCCUUUAUUUUAUUUUCCCUCAGUUUUUGUUUGUAGUUAUUGUUAAGCUCUUUUACACUGGCUCACAUGCAGCAAUGUGAUGAAAGGAGCGUGAAAGGACAAAGCUUUCUUCAGUUAUGCAGGACUUACAUGCUAAUGUUCAUCAAGAUCUGUUCUUAACAGCUUGAGCCAUCCGUUUAGAGAGGCCUGAUGGAUAGAUCACCUGUAACUGUAAGAUGUCUUAUCAACAGUAUUUCUCGGUUCAUUCUUCUAGUUUCCUGCCAGACCCAGACACCUAUGCCUAUUCAAAAGGAUUAUAGGAGCAUGGCUAUGGUUUUAAAGCAUUUGAAAACUGUGCUUGAUGAAAUUGUUGAUUACGAAGUAUCCUCCGCUGAAAUCCUAUAUAAAGAGUGUGAAGAACUUGAUUUGGCUGUUAAUGAGGCUCGGGAAUUUAUGGAGAACUGCUAUCCAAAGAUGAGCAAGAUUUGUUGUGUUCUAAAGAGUGAAGACCUGUUUAUUAAAAUCCAAGCGUCUUCACUAGAGAUUUGUCAUGUACUAUCUCGAUUGUUGCAAUCUUCUUCAUCCACUUCAAGUUUAACUAGCAUUCAGCACUGCAUGCAGGAGCUUCAAUGUUUGAAACAGGAAAUGAUAACAGAACAUAUGGAGGAGGCUUUGAGAAGUAAAAGAGAUGAUGUUGUUCCUUGCACUGAUCACCUAACGAAAAUUAUUGAAGCACUAAAUUUAACAUCGGAUGGGGAACUCUUAAAAGAAAGUGUGGCUGUGGAAAAGGAAAGAAUGAAUAUUCAAGUCAAUAAUGCUAAAGGGUACUUUGAUCAAAUCAACCAAAGUGUGGCUCUUAUCUCUGAAAUACGUAAUUGCUUGCUUAAAGUUGAGUGCUUGGAACCAGAAAGCGGGGUCCCAAUCCCUCCAUACUUCCGCUGCCCUUUAUCACUGGAACUCAUGUUGGAUCCUGUGAUUGUGGCUUCAGGGCAAACUUAUGAGAGGACUUCCAUUCAGAAAUGGCUUGAUCAUGGGUUGAAUAUUUGCCCGAAGACCCGCCAAACACUUGCUCAUACAAAUCUCAUUCCCAAUUACACUGUAAAAGCUAUGAUAGCAAAUUGGUGUGAGGAGAAUCAUAUAAGAGUUUCUAGUAACUCUAAGCAAACCGAUUGUACCUCAGCUCCAGUCCCAUCAGAUCAUUCUUUACUGUGCUCAGAUAGUUUCUGUUGCUCUCUGCAAAGUAGCAAUUCUACAUCAAAAUCAUCUCUUGAAGUCAGAAAUGGAUUUGAGAAGCACAGGGUUGAUUUCUCAUCUAAAUUAAGCGGAGAAACAGCUAAUGGAUUUCAAAUUGGGCAAACUGAAAGCUUUGAGCGCCCAUCCCAUGAAUUAUCACAUAUUCACAGCAGGAGUGAAUCAGCCUCAAGUGCCAUAUCCAGUAUUGAGUAUGUGUCUCCAGUAUCAAACGACAUAUCAACAAUGUCCACCAAGCAUGAAAAAGCUCCUGGUUUGUCACAAGAGAUCACAUCCAAAUGCCCAAAUAAAGAAUCAGGAUUUUCUCCUUGGUUGUCUGGAAAUCAAUUCCCCAUUCCUAAAGCAAAAGCUGACCGGGAAAGCAAUGCAAACCAUAACCACAGAACACACUCUGUUUCCUUUUUGGACUUUGGUUCUGAUUAUCUAGAUACAACUUCUCAUGUUAAUAAUUUGAUUGAAGAUCUUAAAAGCCAAUCAAAUGAAUUGCAGACAGCUGCUGCAGCAGAGCUACGGCUUCUUGCUAAGAACAAAAUGGAGAAUCGCAUCAUUAUAGGCCACUGUGGUGCUAUUGCUCCAUUGCUUUCACUACUAUACUCAGAAGUGAAGCUAACUCAGGAGCACGCUGUUACAGCCCUGUUGAACCUAUCAAUCAAUGAAGAAAUUAAAGUUAUGAUUGCUGAAGCGGGAGCACUAGAACCGCUUAUUCAUGUCCUAAAAUCAGGAAAUCAUGGAGCCAAAGAGAAUUCUGCAGCAGCGCUAUUCAGCCUCUCUGUUUUGGAAGAGUACAAGGCUAAAAUUGGCCGUUCCGGUGCUGUCAAAGCCUUGGUGAAUCUUCUAGCCUCUGGGACUCUAAGAGGGAAAAAAGAUGCUGCUACUGCUUUGUUUAACCUUUCAAUCCUUCACGAAAACAAGGCUCGAAUGAUUCAAGCUGGAGCAGUAAAGUAUCUUGUUGAGUUGAUGGAUCCUGCCACUGGGAUGGUUGACAAGGCUGUUGCUCUUCUUGCAAAUUUGUCAACAGUCGGGGAAGGGCGCAUGGCUAUUGUGCGUGCUGGGGGCAUUCCUUCACUGGUUGAGAUUAUUGAAACAGGAUCUCAUAGGGGAAAGGAAAAUGGUGCUUCUGUAUUGCUGCAAUUGUGCCUUAAUAGUCCCAAGUUCUGUCACCUUGUUUUGCAAGAAGGAGCAGUUCCUCCCCUUGUUGCCUUGUCCCAAUCUGGCACACCAAGAGCAAAGGAAAAGAAAGCAUGGGAGAAGGUACUUUACAUGGGAUGAGAAUGUAAUUCCAUAUUUGCACUGGUUCAGAAAAUGGGCCAUGGCUAUCAUUUUUCCCCUCCUAGAAGGCACAGCAGCUUCUGAGUCAUUUCCGUAAUCAGAGAGAAGCAUCUAUCGGAAAGGGUAAAUCAUGAGAAGAGACCAAUUUUGUUUGAUUGUUUGAUUUUUUAAAAAUAUGUUUGCUCUCCAUCAAGAUGUAUGGGUGCUCUUUUUCCAUAUAUUUUUAGGUGUUUAUAUUUGUUUAUGUUAUAGUCUUGAUUUAUUUCUCAAUAGGAAAUAGUGUGCACAUUAGAUUUUAGUUUUCCCAAAUAUUUGAGUGCAGUCAUUGGGUUUCUUUUGGUUUCUUAGAAUAGAAGAAUGGGUAAUUGCUUGUCCUAAGUAAUGUACAUAUCAUGUAAAUGAUAUAUUAUAUGCAUAAAUGCAUCUGCUAUACAAUAAAAGUAUAAAACAAUGAGUAUUGAUGGUAUUUCACGCAUAAA